Molecule: ribosomal RNA, 492 nt
Filed under: uncultured bacterium
Lineage: Bacteria
Description: partial 16S ribosomal RNA
Rfam family: Bacterial small subunit ribosomal RNA
Source: RNAcentral
AGUGAACGCUGGCGGUAGGCCUAACACAUGCAAGUCGAACGGCAGCACAGUAAGAGCUUGCCCUUACGGGUGGCGAGUGGCGGACGGGUGAGGAAUACAUCGGAAUCUACUUUUUCGUGGGGGAUAACGUAGGGAAACUUACGCUAAUACCGCAUACGACCUACGGGUGAAAGCAGGGGAUCUUCGGACCUUGCGCGAUUGGAUGAGCCGAUGUCGGAUUAGCUAGUUGGCGGGGUAAAGGCCCACCAAGGCGACGAUCCGUAGCUGGUCUGAGAGGAUGAUCAGCCACACUGGAACUGAGACACGGUCCAGACUCCUACGGGAGGCAGCAGUGGGGAAUAUUGGACAAAGGGCGCAAGCCUGAUCCAGCCAUACCGCGUGGGUGAAGAAGGCCUUCGGGUUGUAAAGCCCUUUUGUUGGGAAAGAAAAGCAGCAGGUUAAUACCCCGCUGUUCUGACGGUACCCAAAGAAUAAGCACCGGCUAACUUCGUG